This 378-nucleotide ribosomal RNA is filed under the name uncultured bacterium. RNAcentral describes it as "bacterial SSU rRNA". It matches the Rfam family "Bacterial small subunit ribosomal RNA", at positions 521 to 896 of the family's 1533-position model. The record is from RNAcentral.
UAAUACAGAGGGCUCGAGCGUUAAUCGGAAUCACUGGGCUUAAAGCGUGCGUAGGCGGACGCGCAGGCACUUUGUGAAAUCCCCCGGCUCAACCGGGGAAUUGCUUGGUGAACCGCGCGCCUUGAGGCAAGUAGGGGCUGUCGGAACGCUAGGUGGAGUGGUGAAAUGCGUUGAUAUCUAGCGGAACGCCGAAGGAGAAAUCAGGCAGCUGGGCUUGUCCUGACGCUGAGGCACGAAAGCGUGGGGAGCGAACGGGAUUAGAUACCCCGGUAGUCCACGCCGUAAACGAUGUGCACUAGAUCGAGGAGGUUCUGACACCAUUCUCGGUCGAAACGAAAGCGCUAAGUGCACCGCCUGGGGAGUACGGUCGCAAGGCUA